GAUGAACGCUGGCGGCGUGCCUAAUACAUGCAAGUCGAGCGAACGGACGAGAAGCUUGCUUCUCUGAUGUUAGCGGCGGACGGGUGAGUAACACGUGGAUAACCUACCUAUAAGACUGGGAUAACUUCGGGAAGCCGGAGCUAAUACCGGAUAAUAUUUUGAACCGCAUGGUUCAAAAGUGAAAGACGGUCUUGCUGUCACUUAUAGAUGGAUCCGCGCUGCAUUAGCUAGUUGGUAAGGUAACGGCUUACCAAGGCAACGAUGCAUAGCCGACCUGAGAGGGUGAUCGGCCACACUGGAACUGAGACACGGUCCAGACUCCUACGGGAGGCAGCGGUAGGGAAUCUUCCGCAAUGGGCGAAAGCCUGACGGAGCAACGCCGCGUGAGUGAUGAAGGUCUUCGGAUCGUAAAACUCUGUUAUUAGGGAAGAACAUAUGUGUAAGUAACUGUGCACAUCUUGACGGUACCUAAUCAGAAAGCCACGGCUAACUACGUG
This 497-nucleotide ribosomal RNA is filed under the name uncultured bacterium. Its description in RNAcentral is "partial 16S ribosomal RNA". It matches the Rfam family "Bacterial small subunit ribosomal RNA", at positions 28 to 507 of the family's 1533-position model. The record is from RNAcentral.